This 570-nucleotide ribosomal RNA is filed under the name Triticum aestivum (bread wheat). Its description in RNAcentral is "partial small subunit ribosomal RNA". Lineage: Eukaryota; Viridiplantae; Streptophyta; Magnoliopsida; Poales; Poaceae. The record is from RNAcentral.
AUGGCGGCCAUCGUGGUCUUGUUGGAGCCUCCCUUGCUGUGGAAAGUCACAGGCUUCAGGGAGUGCCGGCACAGCCUGAACAGGUGCCACCUACACUGGAAGAAAAAAAUAUUAUUUGAAUUAUAUAAAGUGAACCAUGCUACAAUGGAAAAGAACCAUGCGAUGAAAAAAGAAAGGCACAAAGAGCUGCUGGAUGAUGAUUUCGAUGAUUAUGACAGCGACCAUUAUUAUGAAAGUGAGAGCAAUGUCCAAAGCCAGCAUGAUGAUGAGUGCAGCAGAAGCAAUGGCGAAAGCCUGCCGGAUGGUGAAUCCACCUCAAAUGCAAAGCCUGAUUUGAUUGUGUCUGAACCUCCUGAAAAAAUCGAACAAGGACCAUUACAGAAGCCUGAUUUGGUCGAGUCCGCACCUACAAAGAAACUUGAUUUGAUUGAAUCCAGUACUCCUAGGAAGGCUGAUUUGGUUCAGCCUGGGCCUGCAGGGGAGCUUCAUUUGGUUGAGUCCAGACCUUCUAGGAAUUCUCAACUGAUUGAGCCUGGACCUGCAAGGAAGCUUGAUUUUAAUCAACCCUGA